Cyclopterus lumpus (lumpfish) is the source of this 357-nucleotide long non-coding RNA. RefSeq lists it as uncharacterized. Lineage: Eukaryota; Metazoa; Chordata; Actinopteri; Perciformes; Cyclopteridae. The record is from RefSeq and is a predicted model, not a curated record. The transcript has 3 exons.
GUCCUUUAUGAAGUGGUCGCAGUAGUUUUCGUUGCCCAAAUCAACCACAUCGAUCUGGACUUGAACAAGUUGAUUAUCAUCGCAGACCGCUGCAACACAGUUAUAAAUGUCAUGGGAGACUGCAUAGGCGUGGCACUUAUUCAACAAUUGUCAAAAGGAGAUCUGGAAGACAUCGAGGAGCAGGAACAGGAAAUGGAAAGGAUGCAUGGCAGUGAUGCUUAAGCCCACAGUCAAGAUGAGAUCGAGGUCCAUUUCAGCCGCCAGGCCUCUGAUGAUGACACCCUCCACUGCCCGACAAAAAAACAAUCAUUCUAAUACAGUCAUGAGAGGAGCGCUGGCAGGACGAGGACCAGACCA